AGAAUCAACGCUGGCGGCGUGCCUAACACAUGCAAGUCGAACGAGAAAGUGGAGCAAUCCAUGAGUAAAGUGGCGCACGGGUGAGUAACACGUGACUAACCUACCCUUGAGUGGGGGAUAACCUAGAGAAAUCUGGGCUAAUACCGCAUAAUACCUUCGGGUCAAAGGAGCAAUUCGCUUAAGGAGGGGGUCGCGGCCGAUUAGUUAGUUGGCGGGGUAAUGGCCCACCAAGACUGUGAUCGGUAUCCGGCCUGAGAGGGCGCACGGACACACUGGAACUGAAACACGGUCCAGACUCCUACGGGAGGCAGCAGUGGGAAUUUGCGCAAUGGGGGAAACCCUGACGCAGCAACGCCGCGUGGAGGAUGAAGCCCCUUGGGGCGUAAACUCCUUUCGAUCGGGAAGAUAAUGACGGUACCGAGAGAAGAAGCCCCGGCUAACUUCGUGCCAGCAGCCGC
RNAcentral lists this ribosomal RNA (458 nucleotides) under uncultured bacterium. Its description in RNAcentral is "SSU rRNA". It matches the Rfam family "Bacterial small subunit ribosomal RNA", at positions 26 to 518 of the family's 1533-position model. The record is from RNAcentral.